UGGGGAAUUUUGGACAAUGGGCGAAAGCCUGAUCCAGCAAUGCCGCGUGUGUGAAGAAGGCCUUCGGGUUGUAAAGCACUUUUGUCCGGAAAGAAAUCCUUGGCUCUAAUACAGUCGGGGGAUGACGGUACCGGAAGAAUAAGCACCGACUAACUACGUGCCAGCAGCCGCGGUAAUACGUAGGGUGCAAGCGUUAAUCGGAAUUACUGGGCGUAAAGCGUGCGCAGGCGGUUUGCUAAGACCGAUGUGAAAUCCCCGGGCUCAACCUGGGAACUGCAUUGGUGACUGGCAGGCUAGAGUAUGGCAGAGGGGGGUAGAAUUCCACGUGUAGCAGUGAAAUGCGUAGAGAUGUGGAGGAAUACCGAUGGCGAAGGCAGCCCCCUGGGCCAAUACUGACGCUCAUGCACGAAAGCGUGGGGAGCAAACAGGAUUAGAUACCCUGGUAGUCCACGCCCUAAAACGAUGUCAACUAGUUGUUGGGGAUUCAUUUCCUUAGUAACGUAGCUAACGCGUGAAGUUGACCGCCUGGGGAGUACGGUCGCAAGAUUAAAACUCAAAUGAAUUGACGGGGU
RNAcentral lists this ribosomal RNA (572 nucleotides) under uncultured bacterium. RNAcentral describes it as "partial 16S ribosomal RNA". It matches the Rfam family "Bacterial small subunit ribosomal RNA", at positions 355 to 919 of the family's 1533-position model. The record is from RNAcentral.